This 326-nucleotide long non-coding RNA is filed under the name Rattus norvegicus (Norway rat). Its description in RNAcentral is "long non-coding RNA NONRATT012139". The record is from RNAcentral. Lineage: Eukaryota; Metazoa; Chordata; Mammalia; Rodentia; Muridae.
GGGGACAGCACACGAGCACACACCGUGGGGACAGCACACGAGCACACACCGUGGGGACAGCACACGAGCACACACCGUGGGGACAGCACACGAGCACACACCGUGGGGACAGCACACGAGCACACACCGUGGGGACAGCACACGAGCACACACUGUGGAGACAGCACACGAGCACACACUGUGGAGACAGCACACAAGCACACACUGUGGAGACAGCACAUGAGCACACAUUGCUUCUUUACUGCCAAGUUCAACUGUUCAUCAUCUCACUCAGGUUCUGACUUGGGAUGUCACUGUUUAAUAAAUUACGUGGAGCAGCCUGAAAA